RNAcentral lists this long non-coding RNA (604 nucleotides) under Felis catus (domestic cat). Its description in RNAcentral is "lncRNA (ENSFCAG00000049864.1)". The record is from RNAcentral. Lineage: Eukaryota; Metazoa; Chordata; Mammalia; Carnivora; Felidae.
UUGAGAUUCUUUAGUUUAUUUCUUGCUACCUAAAAAUUAUCUUUAUUGCCUUUAUUUGUUUUUAAUUAAACAUAUUCUCUGAACAAAUACUUAUUGAUUGUCUAAUAUAUAUCAGACAUUAAGCUAGAUGCUAAUGAGUCAAUGGUAAACAAGAUGUAAAACCAUCCUCAUGAUGCUGGAGAGGAAACAGACAAGUAAAAGGUAGCACUGGAACAGACAUUUGUGAUAUCACAGUAGGAGUGAGGCAGGGCAUUAGGAAUGCUAUGGACAAUCCCCUCAGAUUGAGAAGUGUGGAGGGCUGACUCUCAGAAAGAGUGGGAUUUAUGUUGAGAACUGAAGAAUGAGUAGGAAAGUUCACUGGGGCAAGAGAAGCUGAACACAAGGUCUAAAGAGGCGAAGGAGGGAUGGAAGGAGAAUAUUAUAUGGACUUUUUCAUUGACCUACUUUUUAAGGAAUGUAGAGGAGUGGAAAAUGGAGGUUGUUGAUUCUGCCUUAUGGAUGAAAUAUAGAAAACGUAAGUGAUGAGACAAUGCUGUGAAAUUCAUUCUAAUUAAAAUAGAAGCAGAAGAUUAUAAAAUAUAGGGCAUGAGAGUUAUGACCAACU